UACGAAGGGUGCAAGCGUUACUCGGAAUUACUGGGCGUAAAGCGUGCGUAGGUGGUUGUUUAAGUCUGUCGUGAAAGCCCUGGGCUCAACCUGGGAACUGCGCUGGAAACUGGGCGACUAGAGUGUGGUAGAGGGUAGCGGAAUUCCUGGCGUAGCAGUGAAAUGCGUAGAUAUCGGGAGGAACAUCCAUGGCGAAGGCAGCUACCUGGGCCAACACUGACACUGAGGCACGAAAGCGUGGGGAGCAAAC
RNAcentral lists this ribosomal RNA (250 nucleotides) under uncultured Stenotrophomonas sp. RNAcentral's name for it is "partial 16S ribosomal RNA". It matches the Rfam family "Bacterial small subunit ribosomal RNA", at positions 524 to 773 of the family's 1533-position model. The record is from RNAcentral. Lineage: Bacteria; Pseudomonadati; Pseudomonadota; Gammaproteobacteria; Lysobacterales; Lysobacteraceae.